Molecule: ribosomal RNA, 2770 nt
Filed under: Salmonella enterica subsp. enterica
Lineage: Bacteria; Pseudomonadati; Pseudomonadota; Gammaproteobacteria; Enterobacterales; Enterobacteriaceae
Description: 23S ribosomal RNA
Rfam family: Bacterial large subunit ribosomal RNA
Source: RNAcentral
UUAAGCGACUAAGCGUACACGGUGGAUGCCCUGGCAGUCAGAGGCGAUUGAAGGGCGUGCUAAUCUGCGAUAAGCGCCGGUAAGGUGAUAUGAACCGUUAUAACCGGCGAUACCCGAAUGGGGAAACCCAGUGUGAUUCGUCACACUAUCAUUAACUGAAUCCAUAGGUUAAUGAGGCGAACCGGGGGAACUGAAACAUCUAAGUACCCCGAGGAAAAGAAAUCAACCGAGAUUCCCCCAGUAGCGGCGAGCGAACGGGGAGGAGCCCAGAGCCUGAAUCAGCAUGUGUGUUAGUGGAAGCGUCUGGAAAGGCGCGCGAUACAGGGUGACAGCCCCGUACACAAAAGCGCAUGUGCUGUGAGCUCGAUGAGUAGGGCGGGACACGUGGUAUCCUGUCUGAAUAUGGGGGGACCAUCCUCCAAGGCUAAAUACUCCUGACUGACCGAUAGUGAACCAGUACCGUGAGGGAAAGGCGAAAAGAACCCCGGCGAGGGGAGUGAAAAAGAACCUGAAACCGUGUACGUACAAGCAGUGGGAGCACCCUUUGGGUGUGACUGCGUACCUUUUGUAUAAUGGGUCAGCGACUUAUAUUCUGUAGCAAGGUUAACCGAAUAGGGGAGCCGGAGGGAAACCGAGUCUUAACGGGCGUUAAGUUGCAGGGUAUAGACCCGAAACCCGGUGAUCUAGCCAUGGGCAGGUUGAAGGUUGGGUAACACUAACUGGAGGACCGAACCGACUAAUGUUGAAAAAUUAGCGGAUGACCUGUGGCUGGGGGUGAAAGGCCAAUCAAACCGGGAGAUAGCUGGUUCUCCCCGAAAGCUAUUUAGGUAGCGCCUCGUGAAUUCAUCUCCGGGGGUAGAGCACUGUUUCGGCUAGGGGGCCAUCCCGGCUUACCAACCCGAUGCAAACUGCGAAUACCGGAGAAUGUUAUCACGGGAGACACACGGCGGGUGCUAACGUCGUCGUGAAGAGGGAAACAACCCAGACCGCCAGCUAAGGUCCCAAAGUCAUGGUUAAGUGGGAAACGAUGUGGGAAGGCCCAGACAGCCAGGAUGUUGGCUUAGAAGCAGCCAUCAUUUAAAGAAAGCGUAAUAGCUCACUGGUCGAGUCGGCCUGCGCGGAAGAUGUAACGGGGCUAAACCAUGCACCGAAGCUGCGGCAGCGACACUGUGUGUUGUUGGGUAGGGGAGCGUUCUGUAAGCCUGUGAAGGUGUGUCGUGAGGCAUGCUGGAGGUAUCAGAAGUGCGAAUGCUGACAUAAGUAACGAUAAAGCGGGUGAAAAGCCCGCUCGCCGGAAGACCAAGGGUUCCUGUCCAACGUUAAUCGGGGCAGGGUGAGUCGACCCCUAAGGCGAGGCCGAAAGGCGUAGUCGAUGGGAAACGGGUUAAUAUUCCCGUACUUGGUGUUACUGCGAAGGGGGGACGGAGAAGGCUAUGUUGGCCGGGCGACGGUUGUCCCGGUUUAAGCGUGUAGGUGUGUGUUCCAGGUAAAUCCGGUUCACUUUAACACUGAGGCGUGACGACGAGGCACUACGGUGCUGAAGCAACAAAUGCCCUGCUUCCAGGAAAAGCCUCUAAGCAUCAGGUAACAUCAAAUCGUACCCCAAACCGACACAGGUGGUCAGGUAGAAUACCAAGGCGCUUGAGAGAACUCGGGUGAAGGAACUAGGCAAAAUGGUGCCGUAACUUCGGGAGAAGGCACGCUGACACGUAGGUGAAGUGAUUUACUCAUGGAGCUGAAGUCAGUCGAAGAUACCAGCUGGCUGCAACUGUUUAUUAAAAACACAGCACUGUGCAAACACGAAAGUGGACGUAUACGGUGUGACGCCUGCCGGUGCCGGAAGGUUAAUUGAUGGGGUCAGCGCAAGCGAAGCUCCUGAUCGAAGCCCCGGUAAACGGCGGCCGUAACUAUAACGGUCCUAAGGUAGCGAAAUUCCUUUGUCGGGUAAGUUCCGACCUGCACGAAUGGCGUAAUGAUGGCCAGGCUGUCUCCACCCGAGACUCAGUGAAAUUGAACUCGCUGUGAAGAUGCAGUGUACCCGCGGCAAGACGGAAAGACCCCGUGAACCUUUACUAUAGCUUGACACUGAACAUUGAGCCUUGAUGUGUAGGAUAGGUGGGAGGCUUUGAAGUGUGGACGCCAGUCUGCAUGGAGCCGACCUUGAAAUACCACCCUUUAAUGUUUGAUGUUCUAACGUGGACCCGUUACCCGGGUUGCGGACAGUGUCUGGUGGGUAGUUUGACUGGGGCGGUCUCCUCCUAAAGAGUAACGGAGGAGCACGAAGGUUGGCUAAUCCUGGUCGGACAUCAGGAGGUUAGUGCAAUGGCAUAAGCCAGCUUGACUGCGAGCGUGACGGCGCGAGCAGGUGCGAAAGCAGGUCAUAGUGAUCCGGUGGUUCUGAAUGGAAGGGCCAUCGCUCAACGGAUAAAAGGUACUCCGGGAUAACAGGCUGAUACCGCCCAAGAGUUCAUAUCGACGGCGGUGUUUGGCACCUCGAUGUCGGCUCAUCACAUCCUGGGGCUGAAGUAGGUCCCAAGGGUAUGGCUGUUCGCCAUUUAAAGUGGUACGCGAGCUGGGUUUAGAACGUCGUGAGACAGUUCGGUCCCUAUCUGCCGUGGGCGCUGGAGAACUGAGGGGGCUGCUCCUAGUACGAGAGGACCGGAGUGGACGCAUCACUGGUGUUCGGGUUGUCAUGCCAAUGGCACUGCCCGGUAGCUAAAUGCGGAAGAGAUAAGUGCUGAAAGCAUCUAAGCACGAAACUUGCCCCGAG